UGGGGGAUAUUGCACAAUGGGCGAAAGCCUGAUGCAGCGACGCCGCGUGGGGGAUGAAGGCCUUCGGGUUGUAAACUUUUUUUGCUCUGAACAAGGCGCACCAUGGGGUGUGUUGAUUGUAGGGGUUGAUUAGCGCCGGCUAACUACGUGCCAGCAGCCGCGGUAAUACGUAGGGCGCGAGCGUUGUCCGGAAUUAUUGUGCGUAAAGGGCUUGUAGGUGGCUGGUUCCGUCUGUCGUGAAAGCUAAUGGCUUAACUGUGGGUUUGCGGUGGGGUGGGGAUGGCUUGAGUGCAGUAGGGGAGGGUGGAAUUCCUGGUGUAGCGGUGGAAUGCGCAGAUAUCAGGAGGAAUACCGGUGGCGAAGGCGGGUCUCUGGGCUGUUACUGACACUGAGGAGCGAAAGCAUGGGGAGCGAACAGG
Molecule: ribosomal RNA, 419 nt
Filed under: bacterium
Lineage: Bacteria
Description: partial 16S ribosomal RNA
Rfam family: Bacterial small subunit ribosomal RNA
Source: RNAcentral